CCCUGUCCACAGAAAAAAACAGAUUAGGUGUAUCCGCAAAGACAAAUAUGGACCACAGCAGAUUGAAAUGCUGAAGGCAAGAACCAGUAAAAAAGGGGCUUAUGGUUGUUCUGGACGUUGACCAAGACUUGGACAGGUUUCACGUGAGCUCCUCUUCCACUCCGGCUGUUCAGGGAGGGCACCACCCUGUCUGGCCCUCGUGGCGACCUGGGCCGCUCUGCGAUUGGCUGGAGCCACGGCGCUGUAGCGAGCGGAGCCGCGAGCCGCAGACAGGCAUAGCGUGUCUGAGACAAAAACACGGGGCGUCCUGCCAGUUGUUGUCCCCCGAGGAGUGAGGACUGGGAGAUGGAAAACAUGGAGUGAAUGCCUUGCUGGCUCGAGGUCAGCUCGGUGUGGAGGGCUUCUCUGCAACACACUGUGCAUCUGCUUUGCAAAAAAAGCACUCUGGCCACACAGCAGAUGACUGCUGUUAGAGUUUUUUUGUAAAAGAAUAUUCAAUUUGGGAGCACGACCCUUUUUGCGGCUGGAUGAUUUAGCAAGUUAUAGAUUUUUGAAAAAACCUGAUGGAAACUCAAACUAAAUCUGCUAUAAGUUUAAAAGAGCAGCGUGACUCUGCAGGAACUCGUUUGUCGACUUCCCCAAUCAUAUAUCUUUGAUUCACAGCUGCCCUUAUUUGAACUGUUGCGUCAGUAAAUUUAAACCUAAACGGGAAAAUUCUGAUAGUUUCUGACAGUUUUUUUUUUAAACAUCACCGUAGGUUUUAUUUUGACCUUUGCUUCUACAAUUGGUAUUGUGUUGUCAAGACGUGACAUUUUAAACAACUUCCUCCCAGGCUAUGCACAUAAUGUCAUCUCCACCAUUCCAGUGUAAACCAGAAUGUCUGGUUAUCUUUACAUAGAACGAGCGUGUGUUUUAAUAAAACCCUCCCCCUUUCUUCCCCAUAACAUUAUCUGCUGUAUUGUAUACGUUAAUUAUUGGUUUGACAUCUGUAAUAUGGUUGGGAAGCGGUAUUUUUUCUCACAGGAAACCUAACCGCAUGCCAGUCGAGAGUGAAGCUUUGAGCCAAUCAAAAGACUCCAAGACUCAGAUUGAUCACCUGGACCUGUUCAAACUGCCUUAGGAAAAUCAUUUGCUUUGUUUUUUUUAAGGAAAAUCGCCUGCUCGUUUCCCACAACCUUCCCAGGAAGAGUUUUUCCAGACACACGUUUCCCUUUGUGGCUGAUCACAAUGACUCAGAGUGGUCUGGACACCAACGGGUGCCUGCGUGAGACGUGUGACAUGUUUGAUCAGAUACGAGACUGUGAAAUCCCCCGGUAUUCCCUACAGUGACAGUGGAGGUGAACAGUUGUCCUGAAAGACUGGCUGAACACCUUUUCCUCCUUUCCUUUAGAUCAGGUAGUAAUCAGCUUAAGUCUUGAUCUGUUGACACAGUGUUUCACGAGAAUCUGAUGAAAUCUGGAUAACCUUUAGAGCUUGACUAGUCGGGUAAAAACAAAAAUGUGAAUAUUCCUUUAUUACUUUAGACCUGGAGACUUUACUUCCUAUGAGAAGUAUUUAUGAACUUUUAAUUUGUUCGUGUUUAUCCCAGUUUGCUACUUAUGGUUGUAAGUGAUAGGUAGUGUAAUUGAUACAAAAUGUAUACUUUACACUGUAAUACAUUAUCUGGAUUUUCUCAUCUCUGGAUGACAUGGACAUUGUUGCUAAUUGGAUA
Fundulus heteroclitus (mummichog) is the source of this 1711-nucleotide long non-coding RNA. RefSeq lists it as uncharacterized. NCBI's taxonomy places the organism in Eukaryota, Metazoa, Chordata, Actinopteri, Cyprinodontiformes, Fundulidae. The record is from RefSeq and is a predicted model, not a curated record. The transcript has 3 exons.